This 1330-nucleotide ribosomal RNA is filed under the name uncultured bacterium. Its description in RNAcentral is "bacterial SSU rRNA". It matches the Rfam family "Bacterial small subunit ribosomal RNA", at positions 28 to 1381 of the family's 1533-position model. The record is from RNAcentral.
GAUGAACGCUGGCGGCGUGGAUAAGGCAUGCAAGUCAAACGGCCCUUUCGGGGCAGUGGCAGACGGGGUAGUAACAGGUAGGAAUAUACCCCAGAAGUCAGGAAUAACUCAUCGAAAGAUGAGCUAAUACUUGAUAGUCUCUUCGGAGUAAAGAUUUAUCGCUUCUGGAAUAGCCUGCUUCGUAUCAGCUUGUUGGUAGUGUAAAAGACUACCAAGGCUAUGACGCGUAGGGGAGCUGAGAGGCUGACCCCCACCAUUGGUACUGAGACACUGACCAAACACCUACGGGUGGCUGCAGUCGAGAAUCUUCCGCAAUGGGCGAAAGCCUGACGGAGCGACGCCGCGUGAUUGAUGAAGUCCUUCGGGAUGUAAAAAUCUUUUCUCAAGGAGGAAGUUUAUUGACGUUACUUGAGGAAUAAGAGGUUGCUAAACUCGUGCCAGCAGCAGCGGUAAUACGAGUGCCUCAAGCGUUAUCCGGAAUUAUUGGGCGUAAAGGGUGCGUAGGCUGAUAUGUUAGUCUUUUGUUAAAGCUCUGGGCACAACUCGGAAAAGGCAAGAGAAACGGCAUAUCUAGAGGAUGUGAGAGGUAAGCGGAACUUAUGGUGUAGGGGUGAAAUCCGUUGAUAUCAUAAGGAACACCAAAAGCGAAGGCAGCUUACUAGCACACUCCUGACGCUGAGGCACGAAAGCGUGGGUAGCGAAAGGGAUUAGAUACCCCUGUAGUCCACGCCCUAAACGAUGUUCUCUAGCUUUAGGGGGAAUCGACCCCCUCUGAGGCGUAGCUAACGCGUUAAGAGAACCGCCUGGGUAGUACGGCCGCAAGGCUAAAACUCAAAGGAAUAGACGGGGGCUUGCACAAGCGGUGGAUCAUGUGGCUUAAUUCGUCGAUAAACGAAGAACCUUACCAAGGCUAGAAACUUAUCUGAAAGCUCUAAGAAACUAGAGCCCUCUUCGGACAGAUAAGCAGGUGUUGCAUGGUCGUCGUCAGCUCGUGGUUUGAACUGUUCCCUUAAGUGGGGUAACGAGCGCAACCCCCAUCGUGUGUUACAAGUGUCACGCGAGACUGCCCUCGCUUUAGUUCGCGAACUUAAGUUCGUUAAUUAAAGCGAGGGAGGAAGGUGGGGAUGACGCCAGAUCAGCAUGACCCUUGACGCCUUGGGCUGCACACGUGAUACAAUGGGUAGGACAACGAGGCGCAAUACCGUAAGGUGGAGCAAACCUUUAUAAACCUAUCCCCAGUUCGGAUUGAGGUCUGCAACUCGACCUCAUGAAGUUGGAAUCGCUAGUAAUCGUGGGUCAGCUAUACCACGGUGAAUACGUUCUCAAGCCU